GAUGAACGCUGGCGGCGUGCCUAAUACAUGCAAGUCGAGCGAACAGAUGAGGAGCUUGCUCCUCUGACGUUAGCGGCGGACGGGUGAGUAACACGUGGAUAACCUACCUAUAAGACUGGGAUAACUUCGGGAAACCGGAGCUAAUACCGGAUAAUAUAUUGAACCGCAUGGUUCAAUAGUGAAAGACGGUUUUGCUGUCACUUAUAGAUGGAUCCGCGCCGCAUUAGCUAGUUGGUAAGGUAACCGCUUACCAAGGCAACGAGGCGGAGCCGACCUGAGAGGGUGAUCGGCCGAACGGGAAGUGAACCACGGCCCAGGCUCCUAAGGGAGGCAGCAGUAGGGAAUCUUCCGCAAUGGGGGAAAACCUGACGGAGCAACGCCGCGUGAGUGAUGAAGGUCUUCGGAUCGUAAAACUCUGUUAUUAGGGAAGAACAAAUUUGUAAGUAACUAUGCACGGCUUGACGGUACCUAAUCAAAAAGCCACGGCUAACUACGUG
RNAcentral lists this ribosomal RNA (497 nucleotides) under uncultured bacterium. Its description in RNAcentral is "partial 16S ribosomal RNA". It matches the Rfam family "Bacterial small subunit ribosomal RNA", at positions 28 to 507 of the family's 1533-position model. The record is from RNAcentral.